RNAcentral lists this non-coding RNA (30 nucleotides) under Homo sapiens (human). Lineage: Eukaryota; Metazoa; Chordata; Mammalia; Primates; Hominidae. The record is from RNAcentral.
UAAUCCUAAAUGGGUCCUAUUAAGAAUUCC